UGAGGGGGGCUGCUCCUAGUACGAGAGGACCGGAGUGGACGCAUCACUGGUGUUCGGGUUGUCAUGCCAAUGGCACUGCCCGGUAGCUAAAUGCGGAAGAGAUAAGUGCUGAAAGCAUCUAAGCACGAAACUUGCCCCGAGAUGAGUUCUCCCUUGGACUUUAAGUCCACUGAAGGAACGUUGAAGACGACGACGUUGAUAGGCCGGGUGUGUAAGCGCAGCGAUGCGUUGAGCUAACCGGUACUAAUGAACCGUGAGGCUUAACCUUACAACGCCGAAG
Molecule: ribosomal RNA, 280 nt
Filed under: Salmonella enterica subsp. enterica serovar Adelaide
Lineage: Bacteria; Pseudomonadati; Pseudomonadota; Gammaproteobacteria; Enterobacterales; Enterobacteriaceae
Description: partial 23S ribosomal RNA
Rfam family: Bacterial large subunit ribosomal RNA
Source: RNAcentral